GAAACUUGCUACAAUGGCAGAACACAUUUGCCACUGUUAACCCAUCAAGUUUCAAAAUGUUUCAUUUAUCCACUGAGUUUUAAGGAAUUUUCAAAGUUUUUAUAAACAACAUUUUAGAAAAAAACUACAAGAGCUAUCUCCUUGAACUUUCUAUAUAAUGACACAAGAUAACAGGGGAUUAUUUUCCCCAAAUUUUCAGAAAUAUUUAUGCAUCUACUGGGAAUUUUUAAAAAAAGUUUUGACAAAAAUGUUUUUUUUUAAAGCCACAACAGCCAUCUCAUUGAAUGUCUCUCAUAUUAACCAAUUGAACUCUCAUUUAAGGAUUUCUUCCCAGCCCAGCACAGAGAUCUACGUACGUACUCUGUGUAAGUCCUCCUCUUUGCAGAUUCAGCAAUUUAUUGGAACUCUGGCUGGCUGCUGCUACAGAGAGACAAAUCUCUCCCCUAUCCUGAUUGAGGCUUUCGAAUGCUGAGCAGAAUUCUGGGAAAUGUAGUUUAGGGCAGGGCCUUUUGGAUUCUUUGAAAUAAGGCUCCUCGUCUUCCCAAACUACAAUUCCCAGAAUUCUGUGAUAUCCCAGUCUCUUUCCCAGCGAACUGUGCUUUAUCCCUGCUGCUUCCCUCUCCUAAUGGUGAGAGGCUAUUAAUCUAAAGAGGAAUGGCAGCCGUUUUUACUUUGCUUUGCUUGCUUGCACUGAUUUUGGGAGUGUUCCAAGGUUUACAAAAAAAGUAUUGGGUUUGUUGAACUGGUUUAAAAUUACAGAAUUAAAUGCCAUUGAUUUCAAGGAGGGAAAAUUCACUGAAGCUGGAGAUAAUGAGCAACUCAUGGACCAGGAUAUUCCUUAUGGCAUUUUCAAAAUAACUCGAGCAGAUAAGAGUGAUAUUCUACUCAUGGCUAAAGAGAACAGAUCGCUAUACAAUGCUGAAGGCCGACCCAAUGUCUAGAGGUCCACAUGUUCUCUGAGGAAGAAGUUAAAUAAUUUAAAAGAAAUGGGCACACUACAGAAGAAAUUUUGCUGCCUGAGGCAGAAUCGUAAAUGAAACCCUGCCAGCACACACUGGGAAGAAACAUAUCUUAUUUGAGUUUCCAGUAUUUGUAACUGUAGUCUUUUUUUUUCCAACCCUGGAUUAUUUGCAGCAAUUCUUGACAACAGGAACAACUUUUUAUUCCCAUGUCGUGACUUUUAAAAAUGAAUAAAAUAAAUCAGAGGCAUGUUACAUAAUAAACUCCCAAAGGUCAUGGUGUGUAUAUAUGUGUUGUGGUUCAUGAUUAAUGUUUUGGACAGUUCUCUAAAGAUGUGCCUUAUGUAGUAUCCUGAAUUCUUUGCAUAAUGAACAAUUUUGUGGUAGUAGGUGAGAAAAAGCAAAAACAAUUAUUCCUUCCUUGUCAUUUCCUCCUUUACAGUAAAAUUGGAAUUAUGGCACCUUAGUGAAUAACACUUAUGCUUUAAAGAACUGUUUUGUCAUUUCAUUGCAAUACUAGUGGGCAUCCAAGAAAUUGCUCUAUCUAGCAAUAAACAUUAUCCCUCACCCUAUUAACAGAAACUGGAAAGGAACAAGUGGAUGUGAAAGCGACUAAAAUUGGUACAGUAGAGUCUCACUAAUCCAAGCCUCGCUUAUCCAAGCCUCUGGAUAAUCCAAGCCAUUUUUGUAGUCAAUGUUUUCAAUAUAUCAUGAUAUUUUGGUGCUAAAUUCGUAAAUACAGUAAUUACAUCAUAACAUUACUGCAUAUUGAACUACCUUUUCUGUCCAAUUUGUUGUAUAACAUGAUGUUUUGGUGCUUAAUUUGUAAAAUCAUAACCUAAUUUGAUGUUUAAUAGGCUUUUCCUUAAUCCCUCCUUAUUAUCCAAGAUAUUCGCUUAUCCAAGCUUCUGCCGGCCUGUUUAGCUUGGAUAAGUGAGACUCUACUGUAACUGUAAAAAAGAAGAAAGAGCUGUAUUCUGAUUGUUCACACAUCUUUAUACCAGUCUGAAAGAGGCUUCAGUCAAAUACAUGGCUCACAAGGCCUGCCAGGUUUUUGUGUUUGGUGCCCAAGGCCUCCUUGGUUUUGUUUUGUUGCUAUCAAGGGAGAGAUUUCCGCAAGAGCCUCUUCCCCUCUCUUGCAGGACAUGAAAUGAAAUAUUCGGGAUUGACAAUUUGUUGAUUCCUUAAAAUAACCCAAACCUAACAUCUGAGGUAUCUGUCUCAUUCUUUUGCAUAAUCAGUCCUGACAAGACUACAUGCCAAUAUAUUGCUCUUCUAUGCAUGUCCCCCACUAUCAUAAUCUCAUAUUAUAUACCAAAUAGCAACAUUUUUAUAUUCAGUUUUUCUUGGCACAUGAUGCUCUAAAUAUGUCAUAUUCAGAGGUUGUUUAUUUUAUUCCAUCUGUGGAGGACAGACAAAAUCCACUUGCAUAAUAUACUGUGAAGCAUGGGGUUAAAAUAUAUGUCGUCAUGGACAAUAUAAACUGUGAAAUAGAAUUUUAUAUCUUUGGCUUGUUUUAGGUUAGAUAACCUUCUCAACCCUAUUUAGUGGUAGAUACUAAAGUUCACAGAAUAGCUGUGAGUAGUUUGUAAAUUGUUGAGUCAAUCCAAGGUUAAGUUGUCAUUUGACCAAGAAAAAGAAGCCCAAUUGAUAUGAACAUUAUGACAUAGUCAGGCGAUUUGAACUCAGAUUACUGAGAUGUCUGAUAUUGAUCAUUUCUUAUUCAAGAAUCCUUUCUUUCGUGGUGUUUCUAAACUCAGCUCGACUGGCUCUGAAAGCAAAACUACCCAGCCCACCUAAAAUGUUUCUUUUCAUCUUUGAAUCAAUUUGCCUUCCACAAAGAUAGAUGCCUAUAAUCACCACAUUCUCAGAAUGUCAGUUAUUGACCAUGAUUCUUCAGCAGUUAUUUUGAAAAAGUCAAGAAGAAAGACCAUUAAACCAUUUCAGUUUUUUAAAAGCCUAUCUAUCUGUCUAUAUCAAUAAUAGACACAGAGAAAUGUAAAUGAAGUGUUAGGGGCAGGAAAAGAAGAGGUAAAAGCAUAAUAUACCAUGAAACUGGUAAUAAAAUACUCAACAAAUAGGAAUGAACACGCUUUGACAAUUCAGUGUUUCAUUCAUCUUCUCAUACUAUAAUUUUAGGUAUUUGUCUGUUCCUCUUUUAUGUUGCACAAAUCCACAGACUUUAUCAUAGCAUCACAGUAUGUUAUCCAGUAGUAUCAAAACAAAAACAAGAAAUACUGUUAUAAGGUUUUGGAAUGCAUCUCUUAACUGAAUUAAUUUUAUAUGUUUUUAACUAUAUCUUUUUAAGUUGUUUGCAGAUUUGUGUCCUAAAUCUGAAAAAGUGGGCUAACAAUAAUAAUACACUCUUUUGGGUUAUCUAGCAAUCAUGCAUGCAUUUUCAAUGUGGGAUGGUUUAUGUAGUUAGUUUUGUUUGUUGCUUAGUAACCCGAAGCCAAAGCUGCAUUCCAGAGUUGAUGGCACCAUUUUAGGGGUUUUGCAUGUGAUGUGGGAAAUGGGAGUAUACUUCCUGGAGACAUACAGGAAAUUACAUAUGCUUUUAGAAUUUGGGGCAUAAAAGAGGAGACUCUCUUUUGUUCUCUCUCUUCGUCUCUUCAUGCUCUUCCCGCUUCUUGAUCCUGCCAUGUCUGAUGUUACUUCUUGUUAAGAGAUAUGUAGUAUCCUGAACUGUAUUCUUUUGGAAUUAAGAUGUUUUUACCUGUAUGACCAUCAUAUACAAGAUUGUGAGUAAACAUAUUUUUACUAUUUUA
This is a long non-coding RNA of Anolis carolinensis (green anole), 3727 nucleotides long. RefSeq lists it as uncharacterized. The record is from RefSeq and is a predicted model, not a curated record. The transcript is spliced from 2 exons. NCBI's taxonomy places the organism in Eukaryota, Metazoa, Chordata, Lepidosauria, Squamata, Anolidae.